This 427-nucleotide ribosomal RNA is filed under the name uncultured Micrococcaceae bacterium. RNAcentral describes it as "bacterial SSU rRNA". It matches the Rfam family "Bacterial small subunit ribosomal RNA", at positions 1 to 427 of the family's 1533-position model. Lineage: Bacteria; Bacillati; Actinomycetota; Actinomycetes; Micrococcales; Micrococcaceae. The record is from RNAcentral.
ACGACUACAGAGAGUUUGAUCAUGGCUCAGGAUGAACGCUGGCGGCGUGCUUAACACAUGCAAGUCGAACGAUGAUCCGGUGCUUGCACCGGGGAUUAGUGGCGAACGGGUGAGUAACACGUGAGUAACCUGCCCUUGACUCUGGGAUAAGCCUGGGAAACUGGGUCUAAUACCGGAUAUUACCUUCCAUCGCAUGGUGGUUGGUGGAAAGCUUUUGUGGUUUUGGAUGGACUCGCGGCCUAUCAGCUUGUUGGUGGGGUAAUGGCCUACCAAGGCGACGACGGGUAGCCGGCCUGAGAGGGUGACCGGCCACACUGGGACUGAGACACGGCCCAGACUCCUACGGGAGGCAGCAGUGGGGAAUAUUGCACAAUGGGCGCAAGCCUGAUGCAGCGACGCCGCGUGAGGGAUGACGGCCUCGGUUGUA